RNAcentral lists this ribosomal RNA (504 nucleotides) under uncultured bacterium. RNAcentral describes it as "bacterial SSU rRNA". It matches the Rfam family "Bacterial small subunit ribosomal RNA", at positions 355 to 865 of the family's 1533-position model. The record is from RNAcentral.
UGGGGAAUCUUGCACAAUGGGCGAAAGCCUGAUGCAGCAACGCCGCGUGGGGGAUGAAGCUUUUCGGAGUGUAAACCCCUUUCGACCCGGAAGAAAGCCCGCAAGGGCCUGACGGUACGGGUAUAAGAAGCCCCGGCUAACUACGUGCCAGCAGCCGCGGUAAUACGUAGGGGGCCAGCGUUGCUCGGAAUUACUGGGCGUAAAGGGUUUGUAGGCGGUGUAGCAAGUCGAGAGUGAAAUCCCUGGGCUUAACCCAGGGGCUGCUAACGAAACUGCCGUGCUAGAGUGUGAGAGAGGCGAGUGGAAUUACGGGUGUAGCGGUGAAAUGCGUAGAUAUCCGUAGGAACAUCCGAGGCGAAAGCGGCUCGCUGGAUCACAACUGACGCUGAGAGACGAAAGCUAGGGGAGCAAACAGGAUUAGAUACCCUGGUAGUCCUAGCCCUAAACCAUCAGGACUUGGGGUUUGCCCUGUACGGGGCAAGUCCCGUAGCUAACGCGUUAAGU